ACUGAACGCUGGCGGCAGGCCUAACACAUGCAAGUCGAGCGGUAGAGAGGUGCUUGCAUCUCUUGAGAGCGGCGGACGGGUGAGUAAUGCCUAGGAAUCUGCCUAGUGGUGGGGGAUAACGUUCGGAAACGGACGCUAAUACCGCAUACGUCCUACGGGAGAAAGCGGGGGAUCUUCGGACCCUCGCGCCAUUAGAUGAGCCUAGGUCGGAUUAGCUAGUUGGUGAGGUAAUGGCUCACCAAGGCGACGAUCCGUAACUGGUCUGAGAGGAUGAUCAGUCACACUGGAACUGAGACACGGUCCAGACUCCUACGGAGGCAGCAGUGGGAAUAUUGGACAAUGGGCGAAAGCCUGAUCCAGCCA
RNAcentral lists this ribosomal RNA (363 nucleotides) under uncultured bacterium. Its description in RNAcentral is "bacterial SSU rRNA". It matches the Rfam family "Bacterial small subunit ribosomal RNA", at positions 30 to 394 of the family's 1533-position model. The record is from RNAcentral.